UACGUAGGGUGCGAGCGUUAAUCGGAAUUACUGGGCGUAAAGCGUGCGCAGGCGGCUUUGCAAGACAGAUGUGAAAUCCCCGGGCUCAACCUGGGAACUGCAUUUGUGACUGCAAGGCUAGAGUACGGCAGAGGGGGAUGGAAUUCCGCGUGUAGCAGUGAAAUGCGUAGAUAUGCGGAGGAACACCAAUGGCGAAGGCAAUCCCCUGGCACAAUACUGACGCUGAGGUGCGAAAGCGUGGGGAGCAAACAGG
This 253-nucleotide ribosomal RNA is filed under the name uncultured bacterium. RNAcentral's name for it is "partial 16S ribosomal RNA". It matches the Rfam family "Bacterial small subunit ribosomal RNA", at positions 524 to 776 of the family's 1533-position model. The record is from RNAcentral.